This 550-nucleotide ribosomal RNA is filed under the name uncultured prokaryote. Its description in RNAcentral is "bacterial SSU rRNA". It matches the Rfam family "Bacterial small subunit ribosomal RNA", at positions 355 to 896 of the family's 1533-position model. The record is from RNAcentral.
UGGGGAAUAUUGGACAAUGGGGGAAACCCUGAUCCAGCAAUGCCGCGUGUGUGAAGAAGGCCUGAGGGUUGUAAAGCACUUUCAGUGGGGAGGAGGGUUGAUAGGUUAAGAGCUAAUUAAUUGGACGUUACCCACAGAAGAAGCACCGGCUAACUCCGUGCCAGCAGCCGCGGUAAUACGGAGGGUGCGAGCGUUAAUCGGAAUUACUGGGCGUAAAGGGUGCGUAGGUGGUUUAUUAAGUUAUCUGUGAAAUCCCUGGGCUUAACCUGGGCAGGUCAGAUAAGACUGGUAGACUCGAGUAUGGGAGAGGGUAGUGGAAUUUCCGGUGUAGCGGUGAAAUGCGUAGAGAUCGGAAGGAACACCAGUGGCGAAGGCGGCUGCCUGGCCUAAUACUGACACUGAGGCACGAAAGCGUGGGGAGCAAACAGGAUUAGAUACCCUGGUAGUCCACGCUGUAAACGAUGUCAACUAGCUGUUGGGUAUAUGAAUGUACUUAGUGGCGCAGCAAACGCGAUAAGUUGACCGCCUGGGGAGUACGGUCGCAAGAUUA